CGUCUAUAUACGUAUAGCAUAUCAAUAAGCGGAGGAAAAGAAACUAACAAGGAUUCCCUUAGUAACGGCGAGUGAAGCGGGAAGAGCUCAAAUUUGAAAUCUUCAAGGUUUUACCUUGACGAAUUGUAGUUUAAAGAAGUGUUUUCUGUUGAAGUUUCGGUAAAAGUUCUUUGGAAUAGGACAUCAUAGAGGGUGAGAAUCCCGUAUUUGACCGUUAUUUUCAGCUGUGUGAUACACUUUCAAAGAGUCGGAUUGUUUGGGAAUGCAGUCCAAAAUGGGUGGUAAAUUUCAUCUAAAGCUAAAUAUUGGCGAGAGACCGAUAGCGAACAAGUACCGUGAGGGAAAGAUGAAAAGAACUUUGAAAAGAGAGUUAAACAGUACGUGAAAUUGUCAAAAGGGAAGCGUUUGACACCAGUGUUGUUUUCUCGAAAAUCAAUUAAAAAUGGCGGGAUGUUGUGUUGUAUUGACUUUAUCAGCUUUCUGCACUUUUUUCCUGUCUUUUUUAAUGCACUUUUCGUUUAACAAGUCAACAUCAAUUUCUUUUGUUGUAAAAGGGUCAUUGGAAGGUGGCUUUCUUUUCGGAGAAAGUGUUUAUAGCCUUUGACUUCUGCAAUCGGAGAGAUUGAGGUCUGCAGCGUAGAUCCUUCGGGGUUAGAUGCAUUUGUGCUAAGUUAUAGCCUUUCAUAGACAACUUGUUGACUAUGAUCAGUCAUGUAGCUUACUCGCUUAUGUCAUUUUACCUACGCUUAGGAUGUUGACGAUCAGCUGAGCGCG
Molecule: ribosomal RNA, 774 nt
Filed under: uncultured Neocallimastigales
Lineage: Eukaryota; Fungi; Neocallimastigomycota; Neocallimastigomycetes; Neocallimastigales
Description: partial large subunit ribosomal RNA
Rfam family: Eukaryotic large subunit ribosomal RNA
Source: RNAcentral